Molecule: ribosomal RNA, 497 nt
Filed under: uncultured bacterium
Lineage: Bacteria
Description: partial 16S ribosomal RNA
Rfam family: Bacterial small subunit ribosomal RNA
Source: RNAcentral
GACGAACGCUGGCGGCGUGCCUAAUACAUGCAAGUAGAACGCUGAAGCUUGGUGCUUGCACCGAGCGGAUGAGUUGCGAACGGGUGAGUAACGCGUAGGUAACCUGCCUGGUAGCGGGGGAUAACUAUUGGAAACGAUAGCUAAUACCGCAUAAGAGUAGAUGUUGCAUGACAUUUGCUUAAAAGGUGCAAUUGCAUCACUACCAGAUGGACCUGCGUUGUAUUAGCUAGUUAGUGAGGUAACGGCUCACCAAGGCAACGAUACAUAGCCGACCUGAGAGGGUGAUCGGCCACACUGGGACUGAGACACGGCCCAGACUCCUACGGGAGGCAGCAGUAGGGAAUCUUCGGCAAUGGACGGAAGUCUGACCGAGCAACGCCGCGUGAGUGAAGAAGGUUUUCGGAUCGUAAAGCUCUGUUGUAAGAGAAGAACGAGUGUGAGAGUGGAAAGUUCACACUGUGACGGUAUCUUACCAGAAAGGGACGGCUAACUACGUG